GUCAAGUCAUCAUGGCCCUUACGUCCGGGGCUACACACGUGCUACAAUGGGCGGUACAACGGGCAGCCACCACGCGAGUGGGCGCCAAUCCCGAAAAGCCGUUCACAGUUCGGAUUGGGGCCUGCAACUCGGCCCCAUGAAGUUGGAUUCGCUAGUAAUCGCGCAUCAGCAAUGGCGCGGUGAAUACGUUCCCGGGCCUU
RNAcentral lists this ribosomal RNA (200 nucleotides) under uncultured organism. RNAcentral describes it as "partial small subunit ribosomal RNA". It matches the Rfam family "Bacterial small subunit ribosomal RNA", at positions 1184 to 1382 of the family's 1533-position model. The record is from RNAcentral.